ACAAACUUGGUCAUUUAGAGGAAGUAAAAGUCGUAACAAGGUUUCCGUAGGUGAACCUGCGGAAGGAUCAUCAAAGAAAAAAAAUAAAUUGUGAAAUUUUUCACAAUUAUUAUUAAUUUUUUUUCUUUUUUUUCUAUUAUGGAAAAAAGAAAAAAGAUAACUUGUUAUUUUUUUCUCUCUGUUUUUGUCUUGUUUGGUGAUAAUUUUAUUAUUAUUACCCAAGACCUCUUUCCCCUUAAUGUAUUGUGCAUUAAGGGGAAUGUCAUUAACUUUCAAAUGAUAAUUUUUCCUUGUCUGAAAAAAAAAAUUUAUUAUAUAUAUAAAUUAACAACUUUUAACAAUGGAUCUCUUGGUUCUCGCAUCGAUGAAGAACGCAGC
This 378-nucleotide unclassified non-coding RNA is filed under the name uncultured fungus. RNAcentral's name for it is "partial contains small subunit ribosomal RNA, internal transcribed spacer 1, and 5.8S ribosomal RNA". The stretch from base 1 to 73 matches the Rfam family "Eukaryotic small subunit ribosomal RNA", at positions 1759 to 1831 of the family's 1831-position model. Lineage: Eukaryota; Fungi. The record is from RNAcentral.